GUCCGUCUAGUCAAGGCUAUGGUUUUUCCAGUGGUCAUGUAUGGACGUGAGAGUUGGACUGUGAAGAAGGCUGAGCGCCGAAGAAUUGAUGCUUCUGAACUGUGGUGUUGGAGAAGACUCUUGAGAGUCCCUUGGACUGCAAGGAGAUCCAACCAGUCCAUUCUGAAGGAGAUCAGCCCUGGGAUUUUUUGGGAAGGAAUGAUGCUAAAGCUGAAACUCCAGUGCUUUGGCCACCUCAUGCGAAGAGUUGACUCACUGGAAAAGACUCUGAUGCUGGGAGGGAUUGGGGGCAAGAGGAGAAGGGGACGACAGAGGAUGAGAUGGCUGGAUGGCAUCACUGACUCGAUGGACAUGAGUCUGAGUGAACUCCGGAGUUGGUGAUGGACAGGGAGGCCUGGUGUGCUGCGAUUCAUGGGGUCGCAAAGAUUCGGACACGACUGAGUGACUCAUCUGAUCUGAUCUGAUCUGAUAGAAAGGAAUACAUUUGAGUUGGUUCUAAUGAGGUGAAUGAACCUAGAGUCUAUUACACAAAGUGAAGUAAGUCAGAAAGAGAAAAACAAAUACCAUAUAUUAACACAUAUAUAUGGAAUCUAGCUUUGUACAUCUUGAUGGGUGUUUGUUUUAGAAGCAUUGCCCCAGGAGAGGAGAAAGAGACGAGAGUGUCUGUCUUCCUUUUGCUUUCUUGUGCCUCUGUUUCCCAACUGAUCUCCUUCAUCAGUUUGCUAUACUCCUUUGGUGAAAAUGACAUCAAACAUUCAUAGACUAGAAGUUAUUAAGACUUUAAAUCACAUGAGACUACCCAUGGGAUAAUUUUUCGAUCUGCCUUUUGCAUGUUUCAGCUUCCAGUAGUGGAUGUGCGCUGCAUACUGGAGACAUGUAACUUAUACCUGUUCCAUUCUUUUUUACUGUUUUCUUAGUCUGAGAAAAUCUCUGCUUUAGGCUUGUUAUGUGUUUGAGACAGACCAGUUAUUAGGUUUGUAUGAUGGUUAGGCUGUGGGGCAGAGAAGAAGUUCAUAGGAUAUUGAGGUGUAUAUUAAGAAAAGCAUUAUAAUAUGGUGGAAAAAACAUGGGCCCCAGAGUAUCACAGGAGCUCAGCUCUUUUACUUAUGAGCUGUGUCACUUUGAAUGAGUUAUUUAACCCACCAAGCCUUUUUUUUUUUAAUCUGUAAGAAUAAUAAUACCUGCUUUAUAGGGAUAUUGUGCAAAUUAAAUGAAAUAGCACAUUUGGUACAGUGGUACCUCUAAUGUACCACUAAUGUUGGUUGCUUAGAUUUCAUGCAGCAAGGAAAGGGGAAACUAGAAAAGAGUGGAAAUUAGAAGAUGAUAUUGGGUUUGAUCAAAAUGUUUUCAUUGUUUCCAUUCAGCAUAAUAAAAGAGUCAGCAGCAGCAGCAAGAACUGUUCAUUCUUCCUUUCAGGCCUGUUUUGCUGCUAUUACUUUAACUUCCUCACCAAAUUUUGAGUUUAAACAUUUAUUAAGAAAAGUGUCCCAGAGGUCUUGAGAAUACUAUGUCACACACACACACACACACACACACACACACACACACUAAUAUAGUUGUGAAAAAUUCAUUCCAAAAGCCUGUAGUGUGUGAAAAAUGGAGUAUACUCUCCAUUUUAUUAAUUAUUUUGAAAGAAUACUUCCUAGCAAUGUGUAAAGUUGGUAAACUCAAUAGUACUUCAAACUAUAGACUUUUCAGAACUGCUCUUAUUUACUUGAUGUGUUCUAAUGUUAUUUUCAACAAGUGUUUAUUUAUGAGUAGUAUAAAAUAAUAUGUCUACAUAUAAAAGAUUCAGGAUAGAAAAGCAGACUUUUGAAAAAUAACUGUUUGCCAGAUUAACAUAAUAAAACUUUUUGUCUACACACACACACACACACACACACAGGCAAAUUCCUUUUUCCUUGUUCUUUGCUUCUUUCCCUUUGUCCUGGCCUAACAUAUUCAGAUUUUGUUUAGAUUUUGUCAAGUAUUUUAUAGUAAUUACCCAAAAUUUUGGCAAGGAGUAAAAAAAUGUAUGCACACAAACAUAUAUAUAUACAAUGUAGACUUACAGCAUUAUGGCUUAUUUAGCUUAAACAUUUUUGGACUAAAAUUCUGAGGAAAGUUAUGUAUACACAUACAUACACACGCACACACACACACACACACACACACACAUGCUUCUCCUUUACUUAUUCUUUGUUUUGUUCCUUUUCUCCUGGCUUCUCAGAUCCAUUGUUUAGACUUUGUCAAGGACUUUAUAGUACAAUAACUAUCAUAAACUUUGGCAUAAAGGAAAAAUGUAUAUAACACCCAUAGACACAAAUAUACAUACAUAGAUACAUCAAUUGUUAAUAUGC
Molecule: long non-coding RNA, 2339 nt
Organism: Bos taurus (domestic cattle)
Lineage: Eukaryota; Metazoa; Chordata; Mammalia; Artiodactyla; Bovidae
Source: Ensembl